GAUGAACGCUAGCGGCAGGCCUAACACAUGCAAGUCGAGGGGCAACGGGGGAGGGCUCGCCCUCCUGCCGGCGACCGGCGCACGGGUGCGCAACGCGUAUGGAACCUGCCCACUACAGGGGAAUAGCCCAGGGAAACUUGGAUCAAUGCCCCAUGGCGCCGCGGAGCGGAAUCGUUCCGUGGCUAAAGCCUUCGGGCGGUAGUGGAUGGCCAUGCGUCCCAUUAGCUAGUUGGUGCGGUAACGGCGCACCAAGGCCGCGAUGGGUAGGGGCCCUGAGAGGGGGAUCCCCCACACUGGUACUGAGACACGGACCAGACUCCUACGGGAGGCAGCAGUGAGGAAUAUUGGACAAUGGGCGGGAGCCUGAUCCAGCCAUGCCGCGUGCAGGAAGACCGCCCUAUGGGUCGUAAACUGCUUUUGUACGGGAAGAACCGGGGGCACGCGUGCCCUCCUGACGGUACCGUAAGAAUAAGGAUCGGCUAACUCC
RNAcentral lists this ribosomal RNA (487 nucleotides) under uncultured Bacteroidota bacterium. RNAcentral describes it as "bacterial SSU rRNA". It matches the Rfam family "Bacterial small subunit ribosomal RNA", at positions 28 to 504 of the family's 1533-position model. The record is from RNAcentral. Lineage: Bacteria; Pseudomonadati; Bacteroidota.